CAACGCGAAGAACCUUACCAGGCCUUGACAUGCAGAGAACUUUCCAGAGAUGGAUUGGUUGCCUUCGGGAACUCUGACACAGGUGCUGCAUGACUGUCGUCAGCUCGUGUCGUGAGAUGUUGGGUUAAGUCCGUAACGAGCGCAACCCUUGUCCUUAGUUACCAGCACGUUAUGGUGGGCACUCUAAGGAGACUGCCGGUGACAAACCGGAGGAAGGUGGGGAUGACGUCAAGUCAUCAUGGCCCUUACGGCCUGGGCUACACACGUGCUACAAUGGUCGGUACAAAGGGUUGCCAAGCCGCGAGGUGGAGCUAAUCCCAUAAAACCGAUCGUAGUCCGGAUCGCAGUCUGCAACUCGACUGCGUGAAGUCGGAAUCGCUAGUAAUCGUGAAUCAGAAUGUCACGGUGAAUACGUUCCCGGGCCUU
Molecule: ribosomal RNA, 426 nt
Filed under: uncultured Pseudomonas sp.
Lineage: Bacteria; Pseudomonadati; Pseudomonadota; Gammaproteobacteria; Pseudomonadales; Pseudomonadaceae
Description: bacterial SSU rRNA
Rfam family: Bacterial small subunit ribosomal RNA
Source: RNAcentral